RNAcentral lists this ribosomal RNA (341 nucleotides) under Streptomyces albidoflavus. Its description in RNAcentral is "partial 23S ribosomal RNA". It matches the Rfam family "Bacterial large subunit ribosomal RNA", at positions 2586 to 2925 of the family's 2925-position model. The record is from RNAcentral. Lineage: Bacteria; Bacillati; Actinomycetota; Actinomycetes; Kitasatosporales; Streptomycetaceae.
CAUUAAAGCGGUACGCGAGCUGGGUUUAGAACGUCGUGAGACAGUUCGGUCCCUAUCCGCUGUGCGCGUAGGAAUAUUGAGAAGGGCUGUCCCUAGUACGAGAGGACCGGGACGGACGAACCUCUGGUGUGCCAGUUGUUCUGCCAAGGGCAUGGCUGGUUGGCUACGUUCGGGAGGGAUAACCGCUGAAAGCAUCUAAGCGGGAAGCCUGCUUCGAGAUGAGUAUUCCCACCUCCUUGAGAGGGUAAGGCUCCCAGUAGACGACUGGGUUGAUAGGCCGGAUAUGGAAGCCCUGUAAGGGGUGGAGUUGACCGGUACUAAUAGGCCGAGGGCUUGUCCUC